GGGGAUUUAGCUCUGUGGUAGAGCGCUUGCCUGGCAAGCACAAGGCCCUGGGUUCAGUCCCCAGCUCCG
RNAcentral lists this transfer RNA (69 nucleotides) under Rattus norvegicus (Norway rat). It matches the Rfam family "tRNA". Rfam says of the family: Transfer RNA (tRNA) molecules are approximately 80 nucleotides in length. Their secondary structure includes four short double-helical elements and three loops (D, anti-codon, and T loops). The record is from Rfam by way of RNAcentral. Lineage: Eukaryota; Metazoa; Chordata; Mammalia; Rodentia; Muridae.